GGCGGCGUGCUUAACACAUGCAAGUCGAGCGAGAAAGUUCCUUCGGGAAUGAGUACAGCGGCGGACGGGUGAGUAACACGUGAGGACCUGCCCUUUAGUGAAGAAUACCCUCGAGAAAUCGAGGUUAAUACUGCAUACGUCCCUUCGGGGAGAAAGGUGGCCUAAUAGCUACCGCUAAAGGAUGGACUUGCGCACUAUUAGCUAGUUGGUGGGGUAAAGGCCUACCAAGGCGAUGAUGGUUAGCCGGCCUGAGAGGGUGUACGGCCACAUUGGGACUGAGAUACGGCCCAGACUCCUACGGGAGGCAGCAGUGAGGAAUAUUGCGCAAUGGGCGAAAGCCUGACGCAGCGACGCCGCGUGGAGGAUGAAGGUUUUAGGAUUGUAAACUCCUGUUAAGCGGGAAGAAAUGCCUAUCUCUAAUAAAGAUAGGA
RNAcentral lists this ribosomal RNA (431 nucleotides) under uncultured bacterium. RNAcentral describes it as "SSU rRNA". It matches the Rfam family "Bacterial small subunit ribosomal RNA", at positions 38 to 472 of the family's 1533-position model. The record is from RNAcentral.